GAUGAACGCUGGCGGCGUGCCUAAUACAUGCAAGUCGAGCGAACGGACGAGAAGCUUGCUUCUCUGAUGUUAGCGGCGGACGGGUGAGUAACACGUGGAUAACCUACCUAUAAGACUGGGAUAACUUCGGGAAACCGGAGCUAAUACCGGAUGAUAUUUUGAACCGCAUGGUUCAAAAGUGAAAGACGGUCUUGCUGUCACUUAUAGCUGGCUCCGCGCUGCAUUAGCUAGUUGGUAAGGUAACGGCUUACCAAGGCAACGAUGCAUAGCCGACCUGAGAGGGGGGUCGGCCACCCGGGAACUGAGACACGGUCCAGACUCCUACGGGAGGCAGCAGUAGGGAAUCUUCCGCAAUGGGCGAAAGCCUGACGGAGCAACGCCGCGUGAGUGAUGAAGGUCUUCGGAUCGGAAAACUCUGUUAUUAGGGAAGAACAUAUGUGUAAGUAACUGUGCACAUCUUGACGGUACCGAAUCAGAAAGCCACGGCUAACUACGUG
RNAcentral lists this ribosomal RNA (497 nucleotides) under uncultured bacterium. RNAcentral's name for it is "partial 16S ribosomal RNA". It matches the Rfam family "Bacterial small subunit ribosomal RNA", at positions 28 to 507 of the family's 1533-position model. The record is from RNAcentral.